RNAcentral lists this transfer RNA (77 nucleotides) under Bacteriophage sp. RNAcentral's name for it is "tRNA-Thr". It matches the Rfam family "tRNA". Rfam says of the family: Transfer RNA (tRNA) molecules are approximately 80 nucleotides in length. Their secondary structure includes four short double-helical elements and three loops (D, anti-codon, and T loops). Further hydrogen bonds mediate the characteristic L-shaped molecular structure. tRNAs have two regions of fundamental functional importance: the anti-codon, which is responsible for specific mRNA codon recognition, and the 3' end, to which the tRNAs corresponding amino acid is attached (by aminoacyl-tRNA synthetases). tRNAs cope with the degeneracy of the genetic code in two manners: having more than one tRNA (with a specific anti-codon) for a particular amino acid; and 'wobble' base-pairing, i.e. permitting non-standard base-pairing at the 3rd anti-codon position. The record is from RNAcentral.
UGGGAUUUAGCUCAGUCAGGUUAGAGCGGCGGUCUUGUAAACCGUGUCCGCCACAAGUCCAAAUCUUGUAAUCCCAA